UACGAACCGUGCGAACGUUGUUCGGAUUCACUGGGCUUAAAGGGCGCGUAGGCGGUCGACCAAGUCUGGGGUGAAAUCUUUCGGCUUAACCGGAAAAGUGCCCCCGAUACUGGCCGGCUAGAGGGAGAUAGGGGCAUGCGGAACUUCCGGUGGAGCGGUGAAAUGCGUAGAUAUCGGAAGGAACGCCGGUGGCGAAAGCGGCGUGCUGGAUCUCUUCUGACGCUGAGGCGCGAAAGCCAGGGGAGCAAACGGG
RNAcentral lists this ribosomal RNA (253 nucleotides) under uncultured bacterium. Its description in RNAcentral is "partial 16S ribosomal RNA". It matches the Rfam family "Bacterial small subunit ribosomal RNA", at positions 524 to 776 of the family's 1533-position model. The record is from RNAcentral.